RNAcentral lists this ribosomal RNA (467 nucleotides) under uncultured bacterium. RNAcentral describes it as "partial 16S ribosomal RNA". It matches the Rfam family "Bacterial small subunit ribosomal RNA", at positions 28 to 506 of the family's 1533-position model. The record is from RNAcentral.
GACGAACGCUGGCGGCGUGCUUAACACAUGCAAGUCGAACGGAAAGGCCCUGCUUUUGUGGGGUGCUCGAGUGGCGAACGGGUGAGUAACACGUGAGUAACCUGCCCUUGACUUUGGGAUAACUUCAGGAAACUGGGGCUAAUACCGGAUAGGAGCUCCUGCUGCAUGGUGGGGGUUGGAAAGUUUCGGCGGUUGGGGAUGGACUCGCGGCUUAUCAGCUUGUUGGUGGGGUAGUGGCUUACCAAGGCUUUGACGGGUAGCCGGCCUGAGAGGGUGACCGGCCACAUUGGGACGGGGAUACGGCCCAGAUUCCUACGGGGGGCAGCAGUGGGGAAUAUGGCACAAUGGGCGGAGGCCGGAUGCAGCACCGCGGCGUGGGGGAGGACGGCCUUCGGGUGGUAAACCGCUUUCGCCGGUGACGAGGCGUGAGUGACGGUAAUGGGUAAAGAAGCACCGCCUACCUACGU